This 624-nucleotide long non-coding RNA is filed under the name Heterocephalus glaber (naked mole-rat). RNAcentral describes it as "lncRNA (ENSHGLG00000034205.1)". The record is from RNAcentral. Lineage: Eukaryota; Metazoa; Chordata; Mammalia; Rodentia; Bathyergidae.
CAAGGCUGGGGGAGGGCCCCGCUGCCCGUGGCGCCACCAUGCACUGCUCCAGUGGCACGCUGAGUCCUCACAAUGCUUCUUCGAGCUUGGAGGGGGCAAGGGUGAAGGGGACAGGGACAGCACCAUCAGCGAGACCCCUGGGGGUGGGAGCUACUGCUUACCUGCACACUCACAGCCUUCUGGGGGUAGCUGGAUUGUUUCCAUUUCACAAGUAGAGAAACUGAGGCCCGGCCCAGGUCAACCUGGCAGUGUGUGUCCUGAUAAGUGGAGGGCCUGGGCUUCCGUGUUUAGCCUGCCAGCCCCCUUGUCCAUUUCUUUCCAAGAUACGGUACCUUCCGUGAAGCUCACGGUCCUGUGUCUCUCAGAAAGAAAACAGAUGAGUGUACAUCAGCUAUAGCCAGCAGUACGGUAGAGGUGGGGUGCCGGUGAUUGUGAUCCUGGACAGCUGCAGAGGAGCCUUGGUCUGCGCAGGCCUUUGCCGUUUGUCCUGCCAAGGGAGAAACAGAGCCACACAGUUGUCACACUGAUGUUCAGGCAACAAGCAGUCAUGAUGUGGACUCUGAAAACCAGCAUUCUGCACUUUCCCAUCGAGACGGCGGUCAUAUAAUUAAAUCCUUUGAGUAU